RNAcentral lists this ribosomal RNA (251 nucleotides) under uncultured bacterium. RNAcentral's name for it is "partial 16S ribosomal RNA". It matches the Rfam family "Bacterial small subunit ribosomal RNA", at positions 80 to 334 of the family's 1533-position model. The record is from RNAcentral.
CCAAAAGCUGGCGACCGGCGCACGGGUGAGUAACACGUAUCCAACCUGCCUCAUACUCGGGGAUAGCCUUUCGAAAGAAAGAUUAAUAUCCGAUAGCAUAUAUUUCCCGCAUGGGUUUUAUAUUAAAGAAAUUCGGUAUGAGAUGGGGAUGCGUUCCAUUAGUUUGUUGGGGGGUAACGGCCCACCAAGACUACGAUGGAUAGGGGUUCUGAGAGGAAGGUCCUCCACAUUGGAACUGAGACACGGUCCAA